AAAUUGAAGAGUUUGAUCAUGGCUCAGAUUGAACGCUGGCGGCAGGCCUAACACAUGCAAGUCGAACGGUAACAGGAAGCAGCGCUUGCUGCUUUGCUGACGAGUGGCGGACGUAAGUGAGUAAUGUCUGGGAAACUGCCUGAUGGAGGGGGAUAACUACUGGUGGUGGUUAAUACCGCAUAACGUCGCAAGACCAAAGAGGGGACCGGCCUCUUUGCCAUCAGAUGUGCCCAGAUGGGGAUUAGCUAGUUGGUGAGGUAACGGCUCACCGUUGCGACGAUCCCCAGCUGGUCUGGAGAGGAUGACCAGCCACUGAACUGGAGACACGGUCCAGACUCUACGGAGUGCGCGGCAGUGGGGAAUAUAACAAUGGGCGCAAGCCUGAUGCAGCCAUGCCGCGUGUAUGAAGAAGGCCUUCGGGCUGUAAAGUACUUUCAGCGGGGAGGAAGGUGUUGUGGUUAAUAACCACAGCAAUUGACGUUACCCGCAGAAGAAGCACCACACCUGCGCCAGCAGCCGCGGUAAUACGGAGGGUGCAAGCGUUAAUCGGAAAUUACUGGGCGUAAAGCGCACGCAGGCGGUCUGUCAAGUCGGAUGUGAAACCUCUGGGCUCAACCUCGGGAACUGCAUUCGAAAACUGGCAGGCUUGAGUCUUGUGUAGAGGGGGUAGGAAUUCCGUGUGGCGGUGAAAUGCGUAGAGAGUCUGGAGGAAUACCGGUGGCGAAGGCGGCCCCCGACAAAGACUGUGACGCUCAGGUGCGAAAGCGUAAGAGCAACAGGAUUAGAUACCCUGGUAGUCCACGCCGUAAACGAUGUCUACUUGAGGUUGUGCCCUGAGGCGUGGUUUCCGGAGCUAACGCGUUAAGUAGACCGCUCCGGGAGUACGUACGCAAGGUUAAAACUCAAAUGAAUUGACGGGGCCCGCACAAGCGGUGAGCAUGUGGUUUAAUUCCGAUGCAACGCGAAGAACCUUAAUUCGCUCCUGACAUCCACAGAACUUUCCAGAGAUGGACUGGUGCCUCGGGAAUCAGGACAGGUGCUGCAUGGCUGUCGUCACUGUGGUGUUGUGAAUGUUGGGUUAAGUCCCGCAACGAGCGCAACCCUAUCCUUUGUUGCCAGCGGUCCGGCCGGGAACUCAAAGGAGACUGCCAGUGAUAAACUGAGGAAGGUGGGGAUGACGUCAGUCAUGGCCCUACGACCGUAUUACACACGUGCUACAAUGGCGCAUACAAAGAGAAAGGCGAGAGCAAGCGGACCUCAUAAAGUGCGUCGUAGUCCGAUUGAGUUCGCAACUCGACCCAUGAAGUCGGAAUCGCUAGUAAUCGUGGAUCAGAAUGCCACGGUGAAUACGUUCCCGGGCCUUACAGGCCACACCGCCCGUCACACCAUGGAGUGGGUUGCAAAGAAGUAGGUAGCUUAACCUUCGGGAGGGCGCUACUUUGUGAUUCAUGACUGGGGUGAAGUCGUAACAAGGUAACCGUAGGGGAACCUGCGGCUGAUCACCUACCUG
RNAcentral lists this ribosomal RNA (1510 nucleotides) under Salmonella enterica subsp. enterica serovar Weltevreden. RNAcentral describes it as "bacterial SSU rRNA". It matches the Rfam family "Bacterial small subunit ribosomal RNA". The record is from RNAcentral. Lineage: Bacteria; Pseudomonadati; Pseudomonadota; Gammaproteobacteria; Enterobacterales; Enterobacteriaceae.